Mercurialis annua (annual mercury) is the source of this 552-nucleotide long non-coding RNA. RefSeq lists it as uncharacterized. NCBI's taxonomy places the organism in Eukaryota, Viridiplantae, Streptophyta, Magnoliopsida, Malpighiales, Euphorbiaceae. The record is from RefSeq and is a predicted model, not a curated record. The transcript is spliced from 3 exons.
UCCAGUCGAAGAAGACUCACGUAUCUACAAAUUCCAAUUUUCGUUUCGUAAAACGGUACGCUAUAUUUCUCGUAUCAAUCGCCGCCGUUUUACCGUUUUUAAGAAAUUCUGUUUUUGAGUUCUAAAUCGAUCUUCCUGAAUUUUGAUUCGUUUGGCAGCCGUUCGGAGGUCGAAAUCAAUUCCGUUUGUUUCCCGUGAAAGUAGACUCACACAUCUACGUUUCUACACUUUUUGUUCGUUAAACGACCCGUCGACUGCUCGUGCUUCGGAGUCUACGCAGGGUUAGCUGUUUGCCAAGAUCACGUGGAUAAGCAAGCAGUUUAUGAUUUGAAAGCUGGUCCACUCCGAUUCUUUUGAUUCCUCGGAGGUUUUUAUGUUAUUUAAACUAGUUACUAUUUUCGAACACUUAGACCGCAGUAGAACUAGUUUAUAUGUUACAUUCAAUAUUACACUUUGGGAUUGUCGAAUUUGAUCGACUAUUUAUUAUUAGCAUAUUUACACUGGAAUAUUUUAUUAUUAUAUUUAAGGCAUGCUGUGGAAUAUUUUCAGCUA